AGUUAAGUUAGAAAGGGCGCACGGUGGAUGCCUUGGCACUAGGAGCCGAUGAAGGACGGGAUUAACACCGAUAUGCUUUGGGGAGCUGUAAGUAAGCUUUGAUCCAGAGAUUUCCGAAUGGGGAAACCCUCUAUCCGUAAUGGGAUAGAAUCUUUACCUGAAUACAUAGGGUACUGAAGGCAGACCCGGGGAACUGAAACAUCUAAGUACCCGGAGGAAGAGAAAGCAAACGCGAUUCCCUGAGUAGCGGCGAGCGAAACGGGAUUAGCCCAAACCAAGAGGCUUGCCUCUUGGGGUUGUAGGACACUCUAUAUGGAGUUACAAAGGAACGGGGUAGACGAAUCGAUCUGGAAAGGUCAGUCGUAGAAGGUAAAAACCCUGUAGUCGAAACUUCGUUCCCUCUUGAGUGUAUCCUGAGUACGGCGGGACACGAGAAAUCCCGUCGGAAGCAGGGAGGACCAUCUCCCAAGGCUAAAUACUCCCUAGUGACCGAUAGUGAACCAGUACCGUGAGGGAAAGGUGAAAAGCACCCCGGAAGGGGAGUGAAAUAGAUCCUGAAACCGUGUGCCUACAAGUAGUUAGAGCCCAUUUAUGGGUGAUAGCGUGCCUUUUGUAGAAUGAACCGGCGAGUUACGAUUACAUGCGAGGUUAAGUUGAUAAGACGGAGCCGCAGCGAAAGCGAGUCUGAAUAGGGCGAAAUAGUAUGUGGUUGUAGACCCGAAACCAGGUGAUCUACCCAUGUCCAGGGUGAAGUCCAGGUAACACUGGAUGGAGGCCCGAACCCACGCACGUUGAAAAGUGCGGGGAUGAGGUGUGGGUAGCGGAGAAAUUCCAAUCGAACUUGGAGAUAGCUGGUUCUCUCCGAAAUAGCUUUAGGGCUAGCCUCAAGAUUUAGAGUAUUGGAGGUAGAGCACUGUUUGGACUAGGGGCCCCCAUCGGGUUACCGAAUUCAGACAAACUCCGAAUGCCAAAUACUUAUUCUUGGGAGUCAGACUACGAGUGAUAAGAUCCGUGGUCAAGAGGGAAACAGCCCAGACCACCAGCUAAGGUCCCAAAGUAUACGUUAAGUGGAAAAGGAUGUGGAGUUGCUUAGACAACCAGGAUGUUGGCUUAGAAGCAGCCACCAUUUAAAGAGUGCGUAAUAGCUCACUGGUCGAGUGACUCUGCGCCGAAAAUGUACCGGGGCUAAACGUAUCACCGAAGCUGUGGAUUGACAUCUAUGAUGUCAGUGGUAGGAGAGCGUUCUAAGGGCGUUGAAGCUAGACCGUAAGGACUGGUGGAGCGCUUAGAAGUGAGAAUGCCGGUAUGAGUAGCGAAAGAUGAGUGAGAAUCUCAUCCACCGAAUGCCUAAGGUUUCCUGAGGAAGGCUCGUCCGCUCAGGGUUAGUCGGGACCUAAGCCGAGGCUGAAAAGCGUAGGCGAUGGACAACAGGUUGAUAUUCCUGUACCACCUUUAAAUCGUUUGAGCAAUGGGGGGACGCAGGAGGAUAGGGUAAGCGUGCUGUUGGAUUAGCACGUCCAAGCAGUUAGGCCGGUAAUGAGGCAAAUCCCAUUACCAUACGGCGGAGCUGUGACGGCGAGGGAAAUAUAGUACCGAAGUUCCUGAUUCCACACUGCCAAGAAAAGCCUCUAGCGAGAUUUAUGGUGCCCGUACCGCAAACCGACACAGGUAGGCGAGGAGAGAAUCCUAAGGUGAGCGAGAGAACUCUCGUUAAGGAACUCGGCAAAAUGACCCCGUAACUUCGGGAGAAGGGGUGCUCUUUUGGGUGUUAAAGCCCGAGAGAGCCGCAGUGAAUAGGCCCAGGCGACUGUUUAGCAAAAACACAGGUCUCUGCGAAGCCGCAAGGCGAAGUAUAGGGGCUGACACCUGCCCGGUGCUGGAAGGUUAAGAGGAGGGGUUAGCACGUAAGUGCGAAGCUCUGAAUUGAAGCCCCAGUAAACGGCGGCCGUAACUAUAACGGUCCUAAGGUAGCGAAAUUCCUUGUCGGGUAAGUUCCGACCCGCACGAAAGGUGUAACGAUCUGGGCACUGUCUCAACGAGAGACUCGGUGAAAUUAUAGUACCUGUGAAGAUGCAGGUUACCCGCGACAGGACGGAAAGACCCCGUGGAGCUUUACUGCAGCCUGAUAUUGAAUUUUGGUACAGCUUGUACAGGAUAGGUAGGAGCCUUGGAAGCCGGAGCGCUAGCUUCGGUGGAGGCAUUGGUGGGAUACUACCCUGGCUGUAUUGACAUUCUAACCCGCACCCCUUAUCGGGGUGGGAGACAGUGUCAGGUGGGCAGUUUGACUGGGGCGGUCGCCUCCUAAAAAGUAACGGAGGCGCCCAAAGGUUCCCUCAGAAUGGUUGGAAAUCAUUCGUAGAGUGUAAAGGCACAAGGGAGCUUGACUGCGAGACCUACAAGUCGAGCAGGGACGAAAGUCGGGCUUAGUGAUCCGGUGGUUCCGCAUGGAAGGGCCAUCGCUCAACGGAUAAAAGCUACCCCGGGGAUAACAGGCUUAUCUCCCCCAAGAGU
RNAcentral lists this ribosomal RNA (2511 nucleotides) under Staphylococcus aureus. Its description in RNAcentral is "partial 23S ribosomal RNA". It matches the Rfam family "Bacterial large subunit ribosomal RNA", at positions 1 to 2499 of the family's 2925-position model. The record is from RNAcentral. Lineage: Bacteria; Bacillati; Bacillota; Bacilli; Caryophanales; Staphylococcaceae.